AUUGAACGCUGGCGGUAGGCCUAACACAUGCAAGUCGAACGGCAGCACAGUAAUAGCUUGCUCUUACGGGUGGCGAGUGGCGGACGGGUGAGGAAUACAUCGGAAUCUACUUUUUCGUGGGGGAUAACGUAGGGAAACUUACGCUAAUACCGCAUACGACCUACGGGUGAAAGCAGGGGAUCUUCGGACCUUGCGCGAUUGAAUGAGCCGAUGUCGGAUUAGCUAGUUGGCGGGGUAAAGGCCCACCAAGGCGACGAUCCGUAGCUGGUCUGAGAGGAUGAUCAGCCACACUGGAACUGAGACACGGUCCAGACUCCUACGGGAGGCAGCAGUGGGGAAUAUUGGACAAUGGGCGCAAGCCUGAUCCAGCCAUACCGCGUGGGUGAAGAAGGCCUUCGGGUUGUAAAGCCCUUUUGUUGGGAAAGAAAAGCAGCAGGUUAAUACCCCGCUGUUCUGACGGUACCCAAAGAAUAAGCACCGGCUAACUUCGUG
RNAcentral lists this ribosomal RNA (492 nucleotides) under uncultured bacterium. RNAcentral describes it as "partial 16S ribosomal RNA". It matches the Rfam family "Bacterial small subunit ribosomal RNA", at positions 30 to 507 of the family's 1533-position model. The record is from RNAcentral.